Molecule: long non-coding RNA, 2173 nt
Filed under: Salmo salar (Atlantic salmon)
Lineage: Eukaryota; Metazoa; Chordata; Actinopteri; Salmoniformes; Salmonidae
Description: lncRNA (ENSSSAG00000122067.1)
Source: RNAcentral
CCCCUCGCUCCUCUCUCCCCUCUCCCCCUCGCUCCUCUCUCCCCUCUCCCCCUCGCUCCUCUCUCCCCUCUCCCCCUCGCUCCUCUCUGCCUUCUCCCCCUCGCUCCUCUCUCCCCUCUCCCCCUCGCUCCUCUCUGCGCUCCGGCCGCUCUCCAACCCGCUCCAGAGACCGAGGUAGGGUGACCUUCGCUCAGGACUGUUCCAGUGACAACAACACCUCUGAUGUGUCAACACCCGACCCUCAGAACCUCCAGCCCAACCUCCAGCCGUAUGAUGCCCAACUGGGCAGGGGACAGGCACCAUGGACCCCUCCAUUGGGGACAGACCCAGUACAGGCCCCAAAAGCCUGGGCCCCUGAGUGCAGCCAUGCCCAUUGGCCCUCCCUCUCCUCCAGCUUGACUCCAGUACUCCAGCCCCUGGCUUCACCACCUCCCAGAGAUACAGAGCUGGACCUGGAGGCCCGGACCAGCAGACUGCUGAGGCUCACCUCAGACCUAUCAGACGACUCCACUGUCCUCCGGCGGUUCUCUGAAGGGGCCAGUCGAUGCCAGAGUCCAGCCCCACGGAGUGUCUCUUUGGACAGGCUGCUGGAUCACCAGAGCCCCAGGCUUCAGCAGGCCUCCAGGAUACAACAUGGAGGAUCUCCCCAGAGACAGAGCAUGGAGCAGGGCUGUUUGGCUGCUCUUACUCCCCCUGGUCCGGUAGACUACACUGGACAGGCUGCCAGGCCCGGUCUCUACUCUCCCCCUGGUCCGGUCGACUACACUGGACAGGCUGCCGGGCCCGGUCUCUACUCUCCCCCUGGUCCGGUAGACUACACUGGACAGGCUGCCGGGCCCGGUCUCUACUCUCCCCCUGGUCCGGUAGACUACACUGGGCAGGCUGCCGGGCCCGGUCUCUACUCUCCCUCUGGUCCGGUAGACUACACUGGACAGGCUGCCAGGCCCGGUCUCUACUCUCCCUCUGGUCCGGUAGACUACACUGGGCAGGCUGCCAGGCCCGGUCUCUACUCUCCCCCUGGUCCGGUCGACUACACUGGACAGGCUGCCAGGCCCGGUCUCUACUCUCCCCCUGGUCCGGUAAACUACACUGGACAGGCUGCCGGGCCCGGUCUCUACUCUGGUCUUUACAGCCCAUCUCCCCCAGGGUCAGACCUGCAGACAGGCACCAGAUCCAACUCCAUCAUCGCUACACAGAGCUCCAGACUAGGGCUUAGUGACUGCCACUCUGUGCCCAGGACUCUGUCACCUCAGCCUGGGGUGGCAGAGCUCUCCUCCUGCCUGAGAGGACUCCUGGACCUGGUGGAUCAGCAAUGUGCUGGCACACGCUCCCUCCACCUCAACCCCGACUUCCUGGGCCAGGCCUACGACCUGCUCUCUGCCCUGGGAUCACCUCCUGCUACUUCCUGUCUGAGAGAGAGUGAAGAAAACAGAGAAGGACAGAACAGAGGAGGACAAGAACAGAGUGAGAGUCAUGUUGAUGUGACUCCACAGUGCAGUGAGGUAGCUCUCCUGAAGAGGAAGCUGACCGUCACACAACGGCAGCUGGACUCCCUGAAGAAAAGGCUUGUUGAGGCGCUGAAAGAAAACUACAACUUGAGACUAACCAGCCUGAAGCAGGACUCCUCUACCACUGCUGAGACCUACUGUGGCAGGCAUUGGGACAGGUGUCUACAGAGACAGGUGGUAGCUCUGAGAGACCAGGAGACACACCUCAGACAGCUGGAGCAGACCAUUGUGCUUCUACAGGGCAAUCACAGGUCUUUGGUGUCCAAUAAUAACUCUCUGUUGGGACAUCUAAUUGAACACAUAACAGUCCAGAGUCCAGAGAAUCCAGCCAGCAGACUGAUCUAAUGACUUCAACAUCCAACGUCAAUUCAAGCCUUUGUCAAGACUGUACUGCGUUGUAAUGAAUAAAGCCUACUCUGUAAGGUUUGUAGGCUAUGUUUGGCAUACUGUGAAAUUACAUUGAAAAUGUAUUUGUAAUAGACCUGCUUUUUAUUAGCACUCAAAUGUAUUUAUCAAAUAAAAAAAAUGAAUAAUUCACCACAUCAUAAAACACUUUUCUGUAUUGUCAUUUGUGUAAUUAGAUGAUAACAAAGUGAUGUUUUUCCAGUGUAAACAAAGUGAUGUUUUUCCAGUGUAAACAAAGUGAUGUUUUUCCUGUGUAAACA